AACGCUAGCGGCAGGCUUAAUACAUGCAAGUCGUGGGGCAGCAGGACUGUAGCAAUACAGUUGCUGGCGACCGGCAAACGGGUGCGGAACACGUACGCAACCUACCCAUAACUGGGGAAUAGCCCGGGGAAACCCGGAUUAAUACCCCGUAACAUAAUGAGAUGGCAUCGUCUUAUUAUUAUAGCUCCGGCGGUUAUGGAUGGGCGUGCGCCUGAUUAGGUAGUUGGCGGAGUAAUAGCCCACCAAGCCUACGAUCAGUAACUGGUGUGAGAGCACGACCAGUCACACGGGCACUGAGACACGGGCCCGACUCCUACGGGAGGCAGCAGUAAGGAAUAUUGGUCAAUGGACGCAAGUCUGAACCAGCCAUGCCGCGUGAAGGAUGAAGGUCCUCUGGAUUGUAAACUUCUUUUAUAUGGGACGAAACCCUCGUUUUCUAACGGGAUUGACGGUACCAUAGGAAUAAGCACCGGCUAACUCCGUGCCAGCAGCCGCGGUAAUACGGAGGGUGCAAGCGUUAUCCGGAUUCACUGGGUUUAAAGGGUGCGUAGGAGGGCAGGUAAGUCAGUGGUGAAAUCCCCGAGCUUACUUGGGAACUGNCGUUGAUACUAUCUGUCUUGAAUACCGUGGAGGUGAGCGGAAUAUGUCAUGUAGCGGUGAAAUGCUUA
RNAcentral lists this ribosomal RNA (668 nucleotides) under uncultured bacterium. RNAcentral describes it as "bacterial SSU rRNA". It matches the Rfam family "Bacterial small subunit ribosomal RNA", at positions 32 to 692 of the family's 1533-position model. The record is from RNAcentral.